This 67-nucleotide transfer RNA is filed under the name Marmota monax (woodchuck). Its description in RNAcentral is "tRNA.Ala". Lineage: Eukaryota; Metazoa; Chordata; Mammalia; Rodentia; Sciuridae. The record is from RNAcentral.
GGUUAUGGCUCAGAGGUAGAGCACUUGCCUAGCAUGUGUGAGGCACUGGGUUUGAUUCUCAGCACCA